Long non-coding RNA from Oncorhynchus keta (chum salmon), 149 nucleotides. RefSeq lists it as uncharacterized. NCBI's taxonomy places the organism in Eukaryota, Metazoa, Chordata, Actinopteri, Salmoniformes, Salmonidae. The transcript is spliced from 3 exons. The record is from RefSeq and is a predicted model, not a curated record.
GAUACAUGCUGAAGAGGAGGAAGUGGCCGAUGAAGGGAUGGCACAAGAGAUACUUCUACUUGGACAAGGGCAUCCUGAAGUAUGCCAAGUGUGGUGCUGACAUUGAGAAGGGGAAGUUACACGGCUGUAUUGACAUGGUUAUUAAUGUU